RNAcentral lists this transfer RNA (69 nucleotides) under Allobates aff. melanolaemusi AR-2020. Its description in RNAcentral is "tRNA-Gly". Lineage: Eukaryota; Metazoa; Chordata; Amphibia; Anura; Aromobatidae. The record is from RNAcentral.
AUUUCUUUAGUAUAAACAAUACCAGUGACUUCCAAUCAUUACAUCUUGGUGGAACCCCAAGAAGAAAUA